AGAGCUCUUUGAACCAAUAUAUUACGGUCAGGUUCCUUAUGAGCAUUGUUAACUAUAUUUUUUAGAAGAAUUACCUUUAAAAAAUUAAUGGUCCAUUUAUGCUGGUUUUCAAUUGGUUGGUUCACAACUUUGCCUGCUUUGCGUGCAUAAGGAUUCAGAACUGUCAUGUAUAACAACCUCGUCGUGCUUUGGAAUGUUUCUAUGCAUUUAAUAAGUUCAUGUGUUGUUAUUCUUAACUGUUCAACUUGCUGCAGGUAGUACUGCUGCUUAGUAUCACAGACUACGGUUGGUGCCUUGGCUCGCAAUUCUCGAGACCCUGGAAUGCCAUCAGCGGCAAAUGCAGGGACAAAUGCAGGUGAAUUGGCAAUGCAUGGUGCUCCAUUCUCGAGGACUACUACUGGUUGAAUCCAUCACUGAUUAAAAAAUAUUCGAUCAUCUUGUCUGUUCUUGGUUAAACUUCUUAAAUUUUAAACUGUUGUUUAGAUUUGUGGAAUUUUUAUGCUUCAUUUUCUCUUUGCUUCUUGAUUAGGAAGUGUAAUAGUGUGUUUCACACUAACCAUGCAGUGAGGUUGUUAUGACC
Long non-coding RNA from Panicum virgatum (switchgrass), 580 nucleotides. RefSeq lists it as uncharacterized. The record is from RefSeq and is a predicted model, not a curated record. NCBI's taxonomy places the organism in Eukaryota, Viridiplantae, Streptophyta, Magnoliopsida, Poales, Poaceae. The transcript has 2 exons.